UUGAUUAUACUUUCAGAGAUCAUUUGUAUAGUUCUCUACCAGAGAGGGUUGUCUGAUUGUGUAGAGCACCGGAAACCACAAGGAGGAGGCGCAGCGUUCCAUCCUGAGCUGGCUCUUGGUCCUGCUUCCCUGCAGCUGCUAUUUGUCAUUGAUGAUCCUUAUCUUCCUUUUGAGAGAGUAAAGAGAGAGUGCAGUCUGGGUGGU
This is a small nucleolar RNA of Loxodonta africana (African savanna elephant), 204 nucleotides long. It matches the Rfam family "Small nucleolar RNA U3". From Rfam's summary of the family: Small nucleolar RNAs (snoRNAs) are involved in the processing and modification of rRNA in the nucleolus. There are two main classes of snoRNAs: the box C/D class, and the box H/ACA class. The record is from Rfam. Lineage: Eukaryota; Metazoa; Chordata; Mammalia; Proboscidea; Elephantidae.